CUCANNCCACCUAGAGGAGCUGUUNGGACAACCGAUAACCCCCGUUUAACCUCACCACUCCUUGUCAACCCAGCCUAUAUACCGCCGUCGCCAGCUUACCUCAUGAGAGAUUAAAAGUAAGCCAAAUGGGCCCCGCCCAAAACGUCAGGUCGAGGUGUAGCAAAUGGAGUGGGAAGAAAUGGGCUACAUUUUCUGAUAC
RNAcentral lists this ribosomal RNA (199 nucleotides) under Facciolella gilbertii (dogface witch-eel). RNAcentral describes it as "partial 12S ribosomal RNA". Lineage: Eukaryota; Metazoa; Chordata; Actinopteri; Anguilliformes; Nettastomatidae. The record is from RNAcentral.